This 817-nucleotide long non-coding RNA is filed under the name Homo sapiens (human). Its description in RNAcentral is "HSALNT0290011". The record is from RNAcentral. Lineage: Eukaryota; Metazoa; Chordata; Mammalia; Primates; Hominidae.
CGGGGACAUCCGGGCUCUGAGCCAGACUCUGUGCCGGGCGGGGGCCGGGAAGUGGUGGGAGAAGUCGCCGCCCGCGUCUGUCCAAACUUAGUCCCAAACUCAGGAGGUUCCUGUCCCAAGAAGCAAUGUAAAGUUUGAAACGAGCCGAGCGCGGUGGCUCACGCCUGUAAUCCCAGCACUUUGGGAGGCCGAGGCUGGCGAAUCAUUUGAGUAGAGACGGGGUUUCACCGUGUUAGCCGGGAUCCAUCUCCUGACUUCGUGAUCCGCCCGCUUCGGCCUCCCAAAGUGCUGAGAUUACAGACGUGAGCCACCGCGCCCUGCCUAUAUUAGGUUUUUAAAUAGCAGGAGGCAAAGCUUUUCGGUGUGAUCCUGACUUCACUUGGGGAAAAAGGGCAGGUAUCUGAGCCUGGGAAAAUGAUCAAGCUAUCAGCCAAAAUGGUAUAACGCCGACUAUAUAUGUACCUUUUUUUUUUCUUUUUUUCUUUUUUAGACACAGGGUCUCACUGUGUUGGCCAGGCUGGAGUGCGGCAGUCUGGAACUCCUGGGCCCAAGUGAUCCUCCAAUCAGCCUCACAAAGCACUGGAAUUACAGGUAGCUCAGAGAGCUGCGCUGGAGGAGAAAAGCCAGUCCUGGCAGGAGCUCUGGUACCUGGGAAGCUGGAUGGAGAGCCUGGGCCAGAAUCCCGGACCCCUCACCUCUGCGGCCUAGCUUUGUGACCUUGGCAAAUCCAUUCUAUGCACCUCCAUUUCCUGUACAGUGGGGAUCCUUAUUUCUCUGGCACAGAUUGGUAUUUGUUCUGUAAAGCCCAGUACCACUU